This 461-nucleotide ribosomal RNA is filed under the name uncultured Sphingobacteriales bacterium. RNAcentral's name for it is "bacterial SSU rRNA". It matches the Rfam family "Bacterial small subunit ribosomal RNA", at positions 923 to 1382 of the family's 1533-position model. The record is from RNAcentral. Lineage: Bacteria; Pseudomonadati; Bacteroidota; Sphingobacteriia; Sphingobacteriales.
GCACAAGCGGAGAACAUGUGGUUUAAUUCGAUGAUACGCGAGGGAACCUUUACCGUGGGCUUUAAAUGUAGAGUGCAUUUUUAGAGAUAGAAAUUCCCGUUCGGGGCUUUCUGCAAGGUGCUGCAUGGUUGUCGUCAGCUCGUGCCGUGAGGUGUCGGGUUAAGUCCCAUAACGAGCGCAACCCUUAUCGUUAGUUGCCAGCUGGUAAAGCAGGGGACUCUAGCGAAACUGCCACCGUAAGGUGAGAGGAAGGUGGGAUGACGUCAAAUCAGCACGGCCCUUAUGUCCAGGGCUACACACGUGUUACAAUGGCCGGCACAGAGGGCAGCUACCUGGUGACAGGAUGCUAAUCUCGAAAACCGGUCUCAGUUCGGAUCGAAGUCUGCAACUCGACUUCGUGAAGCUGGAUUCGCUAGUAAUCGCGCAUCAGCCAUGGCGCGGUGAAUACGUUCCCGGGCCUU